RNAcentral lists this ribosomal RNA (405 nucleotides) under uncultured bacterium. RNAcentral's name for it is "bacterial SSU rRNA". It matches the Rfam family "Bacterial small subunit ribosomal RNA", at positions 355 to 776 of the family's 1533-position model. The record is from RNAcentral.
UGGGGGAUAUUGCUCAAUGGGGGAAACCCUGAAGCAGCAACGCCGCGUGAAGGAUGAAGGUUUUCGGAUUGUAAACUUCUUUGAUUGGGGACGAAUAAUGACGGUACCCAAAAAACAAGCCACGGCUAACUACGUGCCAGCAGCCGCGGUAAUACGUAGGUGGCGAGCGUUGUCCGGAAUUACUGGGUGUAAAGGGCGUGCAGGCGGGGAUAUAAGUCAGAUGUGAAAUACCAUGGCUCAACUGUGGCACUGCAUCUGAAACUAUAUUUCUUGAGUGCUGGAGAGGAAAGUGGAAUUCCUAGUGUAGCGGUGAAAUGCGUAGAUAUUAGGAGGAACACCAGUGGCGAAGGCGGCUUUCUGGACAGUAACUGACGCUGAGGCGCGAAAGCGUGGGGAGCGAACAGG